Hemicordylus capensis (graceful crag lizard) is the source of this 562-nucleotide long non-coding RNA. RefSeq lists it as uncharacterized. The transcript is spliced from 3 exons. NCBI's taxonomy places the organism in Eukaryota, Metazoa, Chordata, Lepidosauria, Squamata, Cordylidae. The record is from RefSeq and is a predicted model, not a curated record.
GGCCCAAGCCAGCCAGGAAGGAGGAGGCAGCCAGAGAGGCCUCCACUGUUCUCUGCAGCAGAAGACCCCCUGCUGCCAGAAUUUGGGAGCACUGUGCUGAAUAUGCUUAAGGAUACAAUUCAUAUAACGAUUUAAGAAGGCAUAAAAGAGAAGACUCACCCACAGUUUUCUCUAGGCAAGAGAUAACCAGUGCAGGGGACUCUUAAAAGGAGAUAUGCCAGCACUUGCCCUGCUCUGCAAGACGAGAGGAAAAUGUGACUUCCCAUCAUGAAAGGACAAUCUUUUUAGACCCUGAAAGUCAUACUCGUGGCUUUCUUUUAUGGUAUUGCUAAUGUUAAGACAUAAAAUUUUUGUGUUUAUGCCUUAUUUAUUUUCUUUGCUAAGAUCCUUUACUUUUGUUUAAAUUAAUAUUGCUUUUUUAAAAAUGGGCUUUGCACCGAGAUUCUAGAAACUGUUCUCACACCUCUCAUCCAAACUAUCCUAUCAACUUUGGGGCUCUUUCACUUUUAAAAUAAUGUCAACAAUUCACAAAACCUGUACAUAAAAUAUUGUGUGCAAAUCA